This 1721-nucleotide ribosomal RNA is filed under the name Lacticaseibacillus rhamnosus R0011. RNAcentral's name for it is "bacterial LSU rRNA". It matches the Rfam family "Bacterial large subunit ribosomal RNA", at positions 1204 to 2925 of the family's 2925-position model. The record is from RNAcentral. Lineage: Bacteria; Bacillati; Bacillota; Bacilli; Lactobacillales; Lactobacillaceae.
GGGUGCACCCCGUCCAGGGUUGCGCGGUAGGAGAAGCGUUCUAAGGGCGUUGAAGGUCGAUCGUGAGGACGGACUGGAGCGCUUAGAAGUGAGAAUGCCGGCAUGAGUAGCGAAAGAUCAGUGAGAAUCUGAUCCACCGUAUGACUAAGGUUUCCUGGGGAAGGCUCGUCCUCCCAGGGUUAGUCGGGAUCUAAGGCGAGGCCGCAAGGCGUAGUCGAUGACAAGCAGGUUGAGAUUCCUGCACUAGUUUAUUUUGUUUAAGCGAUGGAGGGACGCAGGAGGCUAAGGAAAGCGCACGGCUGGAAAAGUGCGUCCAAGCAGUAAGUCCGGUAGCGAGUGAAAUGCUUGCCGCCUUAAGGACAAGCUGUGAUGGGGAGCGAAACUAAAGUAGCGAAGUUCCUGAUGUCACACUGCCAAGAAAAGCUUCUAGUGAGAAAUAAACUACCCGUACCGCAAACCGACACAGGUAGUCGAGGAGAGUAUCCUCAGGUGAGCGAGCGAACUCUCGUUAAGGAACUCGGCAAAAUGACCCCGUAACUUCGGAAGAAGGGGUGCUGACCGCAAGGUCAGCCGCAGUGAAUAGGCCCAAACAACUGUUUAUCAAAAACACAGGUCUCUGCUAAAUCGUAAGAUGAUGUAUAGGGGCUGACGCCUGCCCGGUGCUGGAAGGUUAAGAGGAUGAGUUAGCGCAAGCGAAGCCCAGAAUUGAAGCCCCAGUAAACGGCGGCCGUAACUAUAACGGUCCUAAGGUAGCGAAAUUCCUUGUCGGGUAAGUUCCGACCCGCACGAAAGGCGUAAUGAUUUGGGCACUGUCUCAACGAGAGACUCGGUGAAAUUAUAGUACCCGUGAAGAUGCGGGUUACCCGCGACAGGACGGAAAGACCCCAUGGAGCUUUACUGUAGCUUGAUAUUGAGUGUUGGUACCGCUUGUACAGGAUAGGUAGGAGCCGUAGAGAUCGGAACGCUAGUUUCGAUGGAGGCAUUGGUGGGAUACUACCCUAGCUGUAUGAACACUCUAACCCGCGCCACUGAUCGUGGCGGGAGACAGUGUCAGGUAGGCAGUUUGACUGGGGCGGUCGCCUCCUAAAAUGUAACGGAGGCGCCCAAAGGUUCCCUCAGAAUGGUUGGAAAUCAUUCGCAGAGUGUAAAGGUAGAAGGGAGCUUGACUGCGAGACUGACAAGUCGAGCAGGGACGAAAGUCGGGCUUAGUGAUCCGGUGGUUCCGUAUGGAAGGGCCAUCGCUCAACGGAUAAAAGCUACCCUGGGGAUAACAGGCUUAUCUCCCCCAAGAGUCCACAUCGACGGGGAGGUUUGGCACCUCGAUGUCGGCUCAUCGCAUCCUGGGGCUGUAGUCGGUCCCAAGGGUUGGGCUGUUCGCCCAUUAAAGCGGUACGCGAGCUGGGUUCAGAACGUCGUGAGACAGUUCGGUCCCUAUCCGUCGCGGGCGCAGGAAAUUUGAGAGGAGCUGUCCUUAGUACGAGAGGACCGGGAUGGACGUUCCGCUGGUGUACCAGUUGUGCCGCCAGGCGCAUCGCUGGGUAGCUAUGAACGGAAGGGAUAAACGCUGAAAGCAUCUAAGUGUGAAGCCCCCCUCGAGAUGAGAUUUCCCAUUCCUAUAUGGAAGUAAGACCCCUGAAAGAUGAUCAGGUAGAUAGGCUGGAAGUGGAAGUGCAGCGAUGCAUGGAGCGGACCAGUACUAAUCGGUCGAGGACUUAACCAAG